Molecule: long non-coding RNA, 761 nt
Filed under: Mytilus galloprovincialis (Mediterranean mussel)
Lineage: Eukaryota; Metazoa; Mollusca; Bivalvia; Mytilida; Mytilidae
Source: RNAcentral
AUGCAGGCCAAGUUUUAGAUUUAAUACAGUUAUCUGUAAUCGAAUGCAAAGUGAUUUAAUCUUACUACUUUGUCAUCAUUUUGUGUAUAAUUUGUUAAAAGAAAGAUUUAUCCUCUUUUGUAGAUCAACAGUUGAUAUUUUAUGUAUACUUCAGACUAUAAACAUAGAUGUGAAGCAAUAGACUAUUUUCAUAUGACCGACUUUUGACCCCGGUUUAAAUUUUUUUUGACAGGUUACCUACAGCAUCCUGGUACUCAAUUAAGAGCAGUCAUAUUAGUAAAAUGAAACAUUUAAUCAGUGUAAAUUGGGGGGAAAUUUUACUAUUUUCCGAUGAGUUUGUAUGAAGCAGUAUAUUUUCCCCAAGAAUUGUACAGAUUAAAAGCUUGAUACCACUUCUUUAUGAUGCUCUAACUUGACUUGGUACCAGGAUGUCCUAGGAAACCUGUUGAAAAAAUAUAAACUUCGGAUUCAAGUCGGUAAUACAAGAAAUAGUAAAUUUUAUGCUGUGUGUACAUGUACACUUCAGAAUAAAAUCAAAAUUUACUAAAAAACAAACAGAUAUUAAGAUGAAUAUGUGAUGUUUUUUGUCUAUUGAAAUAUUCACAUAUCAGUAUUUUUUUGUGUUGUUCAAAUUACGAAUUUUCAGAUUGAUAGAUUUUUAUAUUGAUCAUCAAAGUUAAACUUGUGAUAUCUUUACUUUAUAUUUAUUGCUAUUGAAAAUAUAUGUAUAGCCACAUUUUUAACCAUGUUAAAAGUUUUUU